Molecule: long non-coding RNA, 3184 nt
Filed under: Macaca fascicularis (crab-eating macaque)
Lineage: Eukaryota; Metazoa; Chordata; Mammalia; Primates; Cercopithecidae
Description: lncRNA (ENSMFAG00000047687.1)
Source: RNAcentral
GGGCCGGACUGGCCUGAAGUAUGAGGUCUGGUAGUGAGGACCAUCCCAGCCAGCACCUCAGGGCUGCCUUUCAGAUAGAAGAAACUUAUUAUAGGACCCACACUUCAAAGCUACUUCCUUCAGUGGUGCCUGGGGAGUUAAGUUUACCAACGUGGUAAUAGUGGAAAGUGGUGCCAAGUGAGUACAAUCUGGUAUUAAAAAGCCUGAGUUUGAAUCCCUGAUCUGCUACUUUUUAACUGUCUGACUAUGGAUCUUGGUUUUUUCAUGUGUUCAGUGGUGAUACUACUAUUUUAUUAUUGUUGCUGUUGUCUUGUGGGGUUGUUGUGAGAAGUAUAUGAGAUAGUGUAUGUGAAGCCACUUUGCAAAUUAUAGUGACAAGGAUAUGUGGAGGAUGACUAUUAUUUGCUAGGCUAUCUUCACUCUUGGGGGCUUCAAAAAGUACUGUAUGAGUCAACUGGAGUCUCUUCCACUCCGAUGUCCCAGUGUAAACACCCUGCUUGGCCCUUAUUUGAGCUGAACGGCUCUUCUUACUCGAAGGGACUCAGGAAUGGGAUUUGCUUCUUGUGUGACCUUGGACUUCUGGCUCUCUCUUUUCUGAUCUGUAAACUGGGGCUGGAGGGCAGAUAUUAAAUCUGAUAAUCCCUGAGGAGUAUUAUGUCUCACAAAGGAAGUCGCCACCUUGAGGUCACUGCAAAGAGGGGGAAACUAUUAGACAGUUUAUCAUUAACAAUAAGCACAUCACACCUCAGAGCCCAGAUGUGCUGAGCUGUCCUACAUGCCCCCAGUUGCUCCUUAACAUCUCUGGAUGUUAUCCCUCCAUUUACAGAAGUUGAAACUGAAGACCAAGAGAGCAAGACUGCAAGGGAUUACUGAGAUCUGCCCUGUGCUCCCUGUUCGGGAACUGCUUGACUCCUACUCCAGCCAUAGGUUCACAUGACCCAGCCCCUCCACCACAGUUGAGUGAUCCAGUCACCUUCCCAAGGUGACCAAUCUCUGGGCCAAGCAGAGAUUUUUCAAACUAGAGAUGGGAAGUUCUCUGGUGGAGGCGCUACAAGAUACCAAAUUGGGAGAUGUUGGUAACCCUGUUAUCUACCAUGUGAUACAGAAAUCAAUCACUCUCUCUCUCUCUUUCUCUGUCUCUCAUUCUUGAUUUCAUUGUUGCUGAAACCAAGCCACCUGGCUGCCAUUCUCACUCAGUGGUAUUGUAAAAGAUAUCAGUUGGUUUUAUCUCCCCUGGAUCCUUUCCCCUCAUUUUAAUGAAAUGACCCCCAUUUUCCUUCAGGGAGUUACCCCUCUGCCAUCUAUGUCCUGGUGGGACUGUCUGUGAUGGUUCCUCCCAUCUCGCCCCCAAAUCAUGUGAUGAGCAUAUGACCCAAACCAGUCUAGUUAGACUCAGUCUUCAGGGAAUUUUUUAGCGUGAGCAGAGUGAUUUAUACAAUGGAGGCAGUUGUCACUAAGCUCUUUUAAUUGCAGUACUGCAAAGAGGUGAUUUAUGAGUUUUACCUACCUCAAUCCCUAUGUUGCUCGAAUUGCUGUCUUUCUCAAAGCCUCAUUGUUUAAUUUGACUUUGAUCCUAUCCAAUACCUUUCCAGUGCAGUCAUUUUUUGGCUUAAGUUUUCCAGUGUUGGAUUCUGUUAUUUGCAACCAAAGAUUCCUAACUGAUAAAGAAAUUGGAACUAGAGUUGAGUUGUAGACACCAUAUCCUCUAGGAAAUGUGGGAUAUUCAAAAUUAUUGAGCUGUGAUGGGGCAAAAUACAAUGAGGUUGUUGUUCAUGCUCUAGUCUGGGAAGCCAGCAGUGGUCUGCAGUGGUAAAGACCUAUGUCUUACAUUACUUCAUAGCAUCUGACCACUGAGGAUGAAGCUCUCAGAGAAGGGAUAACACGUGUCACAGUUAAUUUUAAGGGAGUGAGGAAUGUUCAAGCUGUGUGAUAGAGCAUUUUGUUUCUAACUGCACAGAAUAAUAUAAAGGGAGAGUCAACAAAGGAAGCCCCAAUGCCUUUUUUUUUUCAUACAGAAUGAACAGACAGUAUUUCUAUGACUACAGUAAAAGAGUCUUAUGACUUGCAGUACAGCUGAGUUCUCCAAAUACCAAAGUUGGCAACUGAUUGUGCAGGUUGCUGAAUUCACGGCCCUGCUGCACUUUGUGAAGUUAGGCAUUAAUAGGGUGCGGGACUGUGACAAGUGGAAUGAUCAUCUGAGAGAUGUGGGAGAAAAUCGAAAGCUCUCUAAAACACCAGGUGCAAAUAGUUCACACUUUUUCUUACAGGAGAAAGCUCACAAUUUCCUGCUUUGCCCCAUCCCUCAAGGGUACUUAGCUGGAAGGUGGGGAUCAGUUUGGCCUAGAGCAUGACAAGUAGACGCAGUAGGUAAAAAUCCUGGACCUAUACAGAAUUGCAGAAACUUCUUAACUGACACCAUCAAAAAUUUGGGGAAAUACCUGUGGAAAUGGAUUUUUGUGGUGUUUUAUCAAGGAAGGGGGAAUGUAAUUUUGGCUCAGGCUGAUAUUCUUGAUACGGAUUCACUUACCAGGGAUUAUUUGGCAUUCCCUGUGCUAGCUCCAGGAGCUGGCAAGGCUCUAACAAAAUGCAAACUUAAAACAAAUGCUGGCCCAUGCGAAAUGGAAUUUAAGGGCCCCAAAUCCCUUGGCAUCAUGUAGAGGAAGGGAUUCAAAUAUUUCUGAAGACAGAAUGCUGGAUUGCAUCUAUUUUGUGCCUCAUUCCCACAAAUACCUCUAACUGUAGCCCUCACACUUUACCCUUGCUUUGAGGAAAGUCAAGAAUGCUGGGUGGAGAGGCUGCAAUUUGAAAUAGUUUGCCUGAUUCAGAGGGGAAGAAGAAUGCAAAGAUGUGGGAGGCCAGGCGUUGGCACUUCGUCCUCCGAAAUGAAGUGGGAAUGAUCAUUGUAAUAUUCAGUAGGCUCUGUAUGAGGCAAGAACUCAUGGUGUAGUGUUACAGGCUGAAAGAAUGAGGGUCGUGAUCAACUCAGUAUACUACUGGAGGCUAUAUGAGUAACCAGUAAACUGUUUCUCAUAAAUGCAGAAUGUUGGCAAACUGACAAACUGCAUCUGUCACCCAGAAGGAAUGCUGAGGGCUGUCACGCCCCAAGCAUAGUGUUUCUUAUGAAUAGGUACAUCUGAAGCCUGUUAGUAACAAUAUGAACCUGUGAUCAGUUAAGCAACUGACC